This 263-nucleotide ribosomal RNA is filed under the name Pantosteus clarkii (desert sucker). RNAcentral describes it as "Catostomus clarkii (desert sucker) partial large subunit ribosomal RNA". It matches the Rfam family "Bacterial large subunit ribosomal RNA", at positions 2194 to 2517 of the family's 2925-position model. The record is from RNAcentral. Lineage: Eukaryota; Metazoa; Chordata; Actinopteri; Cypriniformes; Catostomidae.
AAGGUACAGACCCAAUCGCGUUAAACGACUUAUUAAAGAGCAUAAACUUAGCGCAUCAUGGAAUCUUACCUUCGGUUGGGGCGACCACGGAGGAAAAAGCAGCCUCCGAGUGGACCGGGAAUAAAUCCUAGAGUUAAGAGCUACACCUCUAAACCACAGAACAUCUGACCAAGCAUGAUCCGGACAUAAGUCCGAUCAACGAACCAAGUUACCCUAGGGAUAACAGCGCAAUCCUCUCCCAGAGUCCAUAUCGACGAGGGGGU